Long non-coding RNA from Eucalyptus grandis, 277 nucleotides. RefSeq lists it as uncharacterized. The record is from RefSeq and is a predicted model, not a curated record. The transcript has 3 exons. Lineage: Eukaryota; Viridiplantae; Streptophyta; Magnoliopsida; Myrtales; Myrtaceae.
AGGCAACAAGACAUGCAAAAAUGGAAGCUCUUGAUAUUCUUCUUGAGCAGUGGCGGUGGGCUGGAUUUCCAUCUGCAGAAGUUGCAGAGAAAUUUUCAACAUGUUCCCUUUAUGUGAGUAAUGGAAAUCUGAUCAAAUGCAACCUAAGUAUAGUUGAUUCAAUGGAACGGUGUUCAGCCAUAUAAUGGUUGCAAAGAAUGGGUGUGGAAUUUGCUUAGUAACAAAAGCUCCAAAGCCUCACGGGUCAUGGGUUACUCAGGCUUCUUAUUAGAUCUGC